CCAUUGCUCAGUUGGUAGAGGACAAGGCUCUUAACCUUGUGGACGUGGGUUCAAUCCCCAUGGUGGG
Non-coding RNA from Triticum urartu, 67 nucleotides. Lineage: Eukaryota; Viridiplantae; Streptophyta; Magnoliopsida; Poales; Poaceae. The record is from Rfam.